AUUGAACGCUGGCGGCAUGGCUAAAACAUGCAAGUCGAACGUGUGUAGCAAUACACAAGUGGCGAAAGGGUUAGUAAUGCGAUCGAAUGUACCCUGAGGUGGGGAUAGCUACGGGAAACUGUAGGUAAUACCCCAUGAUCUCUCCGGAGCAAAGGUUUACCGCCUUGGGAGUAGCGAUCGUCCUAUCAGGUAGUUGGCGGGGUAACGGCCACCAAGCCGAAGACGGGUAGCGGGUGUGAGAGCACGGCCCGCAACAUCGGAACUGAGACACUGUCCGGACUUCUACGGAAGGCUGCAGUAACGAAUCUUCCGCAAUGGGCGAAAGCCUGACGGAGCAAUGCCGCGUGUGGGAUGAAGCGUCUCUGACGUGUAAACCACUGUCAGGGGUUAGAAACAAUGAUUGACCCCAGAGGAAGUGGCGACUAACUCUGUGCCAGCAGCCGCAU
This 446-nucleotide ribosomal RNA is filed under the name uncultured bacterium. RNAcentral's name for it is "bacterial SSU rRNA". It matches the Rfam family "Bacterial small subunit ribosomal RNA", at positions 30 to 520 of the family's 1533-position model. The record is from RNAcentral.